This 429-nucleotide ribosomal RNA is filed under the name uncultured archaeon. RNAcentral describes it as "bacterial SSU rRNA". It matches the Rfam family "Archaeal small subunit ribosomal RNA", at positions 474 to 903 of the family's 1478-position model. The record is from RNAcentral.
UACCUGCAGCUCAAGUGGUGGCCGCUAUUAUUGGGCCUAAAACGUUCGUAGCCGGUUGAGUAAAUGCCUGGGUAAAUUGUGCCGCUUAACGGUACGAAUUCCGGGUAGACUACUCAGCUUGAGACCGGGAGAAGCUAGAGGUACUCCUGGGGUAGAGGUGAAAUUCUGUAAUCCUGGGGGGACCACCAGUGGCGAAGGCGUCUAGCUAGAACGGGUCUGACGGUGAGGAACGAAACCCUGGGGCGCAAACCGGAUUAGAUACCCGGGUAGUCCAGGGCGCAAACGCUGCUUGCUUGUUGUUAGCUGGGCUCCGAGCUCAGCUAGUGUCGGAGAGAAGUUGUUAAGCAAGCUGCCUGGGAAGUACGAUCGCAAGAUUGAAACUUAAAGGAAUUGGGCGGGGAGCACAGCAACGGGUGGAGCGUGCGGUUU